GAGAAAGCUGUGCAGCGCCCCUUCAGCAAAGCAGGAGGAGAAACGGAGCACCUUCCGUUUCUCCUCCCGCUUUGCUGGAGAAAAGUGGGAGGAGAAAUGGAAGGGGUUCUCUUUCUCCUGCUACUUCGCUGAAGGGGCGCUGCGCAGAGAGGGAGAGAAUAUUUUUUUUCUUGUUCUCCUCUAAAACUAUUUGCAUCU
Molecule: non-coding RNA, 198 nt
Organism: Podarcis lilfordi (Lilford's wall lizard)
Lineage: Eukaryota; Metazoa; Chordata; Lepidosauria; Squamata; Lacertidae
Source: the annotation of a GenBank genome assembly